Molecule: small nucleolar RNA, 107 nt
Organism: Cynara cardunculus var. scolymus (artichoke)
Lineage: Eukaryota; Viridiplantae; Streptophyta; Magnoliopsida; Asterales; Asteraceae
Source: RefSeq, a predicted model, not a curated record
AUUCCAUGUUGUGGACAACUCACACAAAGAUGUUUGAAUCUCUCCCAAUAUUCAUGGAGAGUUUCAACAUCUCGUUGUUUAAUGCUACAAAUCUCACUACGGAGGUU